Molecule: unclassified non-coding RNA, 211 nt
Filed under: plant metagenome
Description: partial contains small subunit ribosomal RNA, internal transcribed spacer 1, and 5.8S ribosomal RNA
Source: RNAcentral
UUUCCGUAGGUGAACCUGCGGAAGGAUCAUUCAUAAUAAAGUGUUUUAUGGCACUUUUUAAAAAUCCACAUCCACCUUGUGUGCAAUGUUAGAUCUCGUCAAUCUUGGCGAGAUUUUUAUACAUCAACUCAUUUUUUAACUAAUUUGUCUGAAAGAUAUUAUGAAUACUUAAUUCAAAAUACAACUUUCAACAACGGAUCUCUUGGCUCUC